RNAcentral lists this long non-coding RNA (270 nucleotides) under Olea europaea (common olive). Its description in RNAcentral is "long non-coding RNA (OEUR_LNC009117)". Lineage: Eukaryota; Viridiplantae; Streptophyta; Magnoliopsida; Lamiales; Oleaceae. The record is from RNAcentral.
GAAUAGACGGGCUUGGUCCGCAAUGUAAGUUUGCUACGAUUUAUAGUGGAUUAUUGACCGGCAAAGUGUUCGGAGUUUUUACCAAGUUGGGGUUUCUUCGUCAUCAUCUUUGGUUUUCUUUAUUGUUUUAAUUAUUGAUCGUGGCAUUCAAACCAUGAGACAAUUGAACUUGAUUGGCCAAUGACCCAGAACCAAUUAAAAGUGACUUGUUGCUUUUAAUUAUGUAUUUCCGGUCAUUGGAUUUAAAUAAAUCGGUUAAUUAGAACUUUC